UACAGGCUUAACACAUGCAAGUCGAGGGGCAGCAUUUUAGUUUGCUUGCAAACUGAAGAUGGCGACCGGCGCACGGGUGAGUAACACGUAUCCAACCUGCCGAUAACUCCGGAAUAGCCUUUCGAAAGAAAGAUUAAUACCGGAUAGUAUACGAAUAUCGCAUGAUAUUUUUAUUAAAGAAUUUCGGUUAUCGAUGGGGAUGCGUUCCAUUAGUUUGUUGGCGGGGUAACGGCCCACCAAGACUACGAUGGAUAGGGGUUCUGAGAGGAAGGUCCCCCACAUUGGAACUGAGACACGGUCCAAACUCCUACGGGAGGCAGCAGUGAGGAAUAUUGGUCAAUGGGCGCGAGCCUGAACCAGCCAAGUAGCGUGAAGGAUGAAGGCUCUAUGGGUCGUAAACUUCUUUUAUAUGGGAAUAAAGUUUUCCACGUGUGGAAUUUUGUAUGUACCAUAUGAAUAAGGAUCGGCUAACUCCGUGCCAGCAGCCGCGGUAAUACGGAGGAUCCGAGCGUUAUCCGGAUUUAUUGGGUUUAAAGGGAGCGUAGGUGGAUUGUUAAGUCAGUUGUGAAAGUUUGCGGCUCAACCGUAAAAUUGCAGUUGAAACUGGCAGUCUUGAGUACAGUAGAGGUGGGCGGAAUUCGUGGUGUAGCGGUGAAAUGCUUAGAUAUCACGAAGAACUCCGAUUGCGAAGGCAGCUCA
This 699-nucleotide ribosomal RNA is filed under the name uncultured Bacteroidales bacterium. RNAcentral describes it as "bacterial SSU rRNA". It matches the Rfam family "Bacterial small subunit ribosomal RNA", at positions 41 to 728 of the family's 1533-position model. Lineage: Bacteria; Pseudomonadati; Bacteroidota; Bacteroidia; Bacteroidales. The record is from RNAcentral.